RNAcentral lists this transfer RNA (90 nucleotides) under Acrocarpospora pleiomorpha. RNAcentral describes it as "tRNA-Glu". Lineage: Bacteria; Bacillati; Actinomycetota; Actinomycetes; Streptosporangiales; Streptosporangiaceae. The record is from RNAcentral.
CGCGGGCGUCGGCAGCGUGCUCGCGGGCGCCCUCGCCGCCCGGUACGGCAGCCGCUGGAUCCUCCGCGCGGUCCAGCCCUUGGCCUGCGU